AGACCGUCUACAUUAGACUACCCUGUAGUCCCAGCCGUAAACUAUGCUCGCUAGGUGUCAGGCAUGGCGCGACCGUGUCUGGUGCCGCAGGGAAGCCGUGAAGCGAGCCACCUGGGAAGUACGGCCGCAAGGCUGAAACUUAAAGGAAUUGGCGGGGAGCACCACAACGGGUGGAGCCUGCGGUUUAAUUGGACUCAACGCCGGGAAGCUCACCGGAUAAGACAGCGGAAUGAUUGCCGGGCUGAAGACUCUGCAUGACUAGCUG
Molecule: ribosomal RNA, 265 nt
Filed under: uncultured archaeon
Lineage: Archaea
Description: partial 16S ribosomal RNA
Rfam family: Archaeal small subunit ribosomal RNA
Source: RNAcentral